Molecule: ribosomal RNA, 492 nt
Filed under: uncultured bacterium
Lineage: Bacteria
Description: partial 16S ribosomal RNA
Rfam family: Bacterial small subunit ribosomal RNA
Source: RNAcentral
AGUGAACGCUGGCGGUAGGCCUAACACAUGCAAGUCGAACGGCAGCACAGUAAGAUCUUGCUCUUACGGGUGGCGAGUGGCGGACGGGUGAGGAAUACAUCGGAAUCUACUUUUUCGUGGGGGAUAACGUAGGGAAACUUACGCUAAUACCGCAUACGACCUACGGGUGAAAGCAGGGGAUCUUCGCACCUUGCGCGAUUGAAUGAGCCGAUGUCGGAUUAGCUAGUUGGCGGGGUAAAGGCCCACCAAGGCGACGAUCCGUAGCUGGUCUGAGAGGAUGAUCAGCCACACUGGAACUGAGACACGGUCCAGACUCCUACGGGAGGCAGCAGUGGGGAAUAUUCGACAAUGGGCGCAAGCCUGAUCCAGCCAUACCGCGUGGGUGAAGAAGGCCUUCGGGUUGUAAAGCCCUUUUGUUGGGAAAGAAAAGCAGCAGGUUAAUACCCCGCUGUUCUGACGGUACCCAAAGAAUAAGCACCGGCUAACUUCGUG